Molecule: long non-coding RNA, 496 nt
Organism: Panthera uncia (snow leopard)
Lineage: Eukaryota; Metazoa; Chordata; Mammalia; Carnivora; Felidae
Exons: 2
Source: RefSeq, a predicted model, not a curated record
UCAGUUAGUAUCCAAUAGGAAGUGAUCAAACAAUUAAAUUUUAUCAAGUAUUCUGGAGGUUCUCAGAAAGUGUCCAAGAUACGGUUUGUGACCUCAUGGAGUUCAUUGUCCAUGAAGAGCUUUAGUCCAUCUGGCCAUAUAAAGGUGCUUUCCUACGAUAAAGGGACAGUCAACUAUCUCACUAACACAAGCAGGUUUCUGCUUUGACUACAUCUCAUUUCCCUGUUCCACUACCUGUCCGGUAGCCCUUCUUGCUAAACUUCUCAGGACCUUUAGCUGUUCAUUUGGAGAUUCUGGCACAAGAACACAACGUUGUGGAAAAAUAUGUCACCAGAAUUGGAAGAAGGAAUCACUGGACACCCGCAAUGGAAAUACCUAGAUAAUUUGAGUAAUACAAUACAUGACUAAAGAAAUGUGGUGAUAGGGAAAGCAUAAGAUGAGUCCUUUAGCUUUAAGAGAUUUUAGAUCCAACUAAAUAAACAUUUUAUAGAAAUGA